UAGGGAAUCUUUCGCAAUGGGCGAAAGCCUGACGGAGCAACGCCGCGUGAGUGAUGAAGGUCCUCGGAUCGUAAAACUCUGUUAUUAGGGAAGAACAAAUGUGUAAGUAACUAUGCACGUCUUGACGGUACCUAAUCAGAAAGCCACGGCUAACUACGUGCCAGCAGCCGCGGUAAUACGUAGGUGGCAAGCGUUAUCCGGAAUUAUUGGGCGUAAAGCGCGCGUAGGCGGUUUUUUAAGUCUGAUGUGAAAGCCCACGGCUCAACCGUGGAGGGUCAUUGGAAACUGGAAAACUUGAGUGCAGAAGAGGAAAGUGGAAUUCCAUGUGUAGCGGUGAAAUGCGCAGAGAUAUGGAGGAACACCAGUGGCGAAGGCGACUUUCUGGUCUGUAACUGACGCUGAUGUGCGAAAGCGUGGGGAUCAAACAGG
Molecule: ribosomal RNA, 429 nt
Filed under: Actinomycetes bacterium
Lineage: Bacteria; Bacillati; Actinomycetota; Actinomycetes
Description: Actinobacteria bacterium partial 16S ribosomal RNA
Rfam family: Bacterial small subunit ribosomal RNA
Source: RNAcentral